Small nucleolar RNA from Dioscorea cayenensis subsp. rotundata (Guinea yam), 109 nucleotides. The record is from RefSeq and is a predicted model, not a curated record. NCBI's taxonomy places the organism in Eukaryota, Viridiplantae, Streptophyta, Magnoliopsida, Dioscoreales, Dioscoreaceae.
AAACCGUGAUGAGGGGACUUGCGAAGAAAAGAUGUUUAAAUCGUUCAUGGGCUUCAAAGAGUGUCUCAGCAUCACCUUGGCUGAAAAACGAUAUCUCCUGUCUCAGUCU